AACGACUCUCGGCAACGGAUAUCUCGGCUCUCGCAUCGAUGAAGAACGUAGCGAAAUGCGAUACUUGGUGUGAAUUGCAGAAUCCCGUGAACCAUCGAGUCUUUGAACGCAAGUUGCGCCCGACGCCAUCAGGUCGAGGGCACGUCUGCCUGGGCGUCACACG
This 163-nucleotide ribosomal RNA is filed under the name Ficus pseudopalma. RNAcentral's name for it is "5.8S ribosomal RNA". It matches the Rfam family "5.8S ribosomal RNA". From Rfam's summary of the family: 5.8S ribosomal RNA (5.8S rRNA) is a component of the large subunit of the eukaryotic ribosome. RNAcentral also lists the same sequence under 1 other name. The record is from RNAcentral. Lineage: Eukaryota; Viridiplantae; Streptophyta; Magnoliopsida; Rosales; Moraceae.